This 649-nucleotide unclassified non-coding RNA is filed under the name Malassezia sympodialis. RNAcentral's name for it is "sequence contains 18S rRNA gene, ITS1, 5.8S rRNA gene, ITS2, 28S rRNA gene". The stretch from base 210 to 363 matches the Rfam family "5.8S ribosomal RNA". The record is from RNAcentral. Lineage: Eukaryota; Fungi; Basidiomycota; Malasseziomycetes; Malasseziales; Malasseziaceae.
AGUCGUAACAAGGUUUCUGUAGGUGAACCUGCAGAAGGAUCAUUAGUGAAAGUUUCGGGCCUGCCAUACGGACGCAAACACGUCUCUGGCGCCCAUCACUAUAUCCAUACCAACCCCUGUGCACUGUGAUGACGAAUGUCAUCGAACAAAAAAAAACUCGUAUGGUUGAAUGUACGUGAAAUUGUAGGUAUAGCCUACGAACUAUACACAACUUUCGACAACGGAUCUCUUGGUUCUCCCAUCGAUGAAGAACGCAGCGAAACGCGAUAGGUAAUGUGAAUUGCAGAAUUCCGUGAAUCAUCGAAUCUUUGAACGCACCUUGCGCUCCAUGGUAUUCCGUGGAGCAUGCCUGUUUGAGUGCCGCGAAUUCUCCCUCCCCUUACGGUGGCCGAAAGGCCGAAGUAGGGCGGACGGGGUAGGAUGGGUGUUUGCUGCCUGGGGAUUGUACCAGGCUCGCCCGAAAUGCAUAAGCGCCAGGACCCUCGCUACCGCUCUCUAGGGAAGAGUGGCUAAGCGACCGCUGAGCAUGGCAUGAUACGUCAUUUGCUGUGUGUGGGCGGCCGGUUGGAGAGGUGUCUGCUUUACCAGCCCUAUUUUAAUUCUGGUCUCAAAUCAGGUAGGAUCACCCGCUGAACCUAAGCAUAUCAAU